Molecule: long non-coding RNA, 347 nt
Organism: Phyllostomus discolor (pale spear-nosed bat)
Lineage: Eukaryota; Metazoa; Chordata; Mammalia; Chiroptera; Phyllostomidae
Exons: 2
Source: RefSeq, a predicted model, not a curated record
CUAAGUAGUGGUUUCUGUUUCUCCCUUUCUAGCCUCAGAAGGACAGUGACUAAGUCAACUUUAUCUCCUAGUUUCGAGCACUGCAUCUUGUGCACAGGUUAAGUCUUCAGCUAACAGUUUACAAUAAAAUUUUUAUUAGGAUUACCACAUGGAAUUGACUAUUAGCGCAGUAGGAGUUUUAAGAGGGACAGCAUUAGAGACUUUUUAAAUAGGCAGGACCUGAGCUGGGUAUUAAAGAGACAGGUUUGCAGGGAAGACAAGAGGGGAUAAAGGGGAAAUCCAAUUCUAGUUAUGAGUUUGCUUUUGUCACCUAAUAGUUUUGUAACCUUUACAAUGUUGGGUAAUAG